AAACCACCACGUGAAGGGGAACUCAGCCAACGCCAAGGAACGGUUGUGUUUUCUCAAACUAAAAAUAUGUUUUACGUGUAUACGAAAUUCUUAACAGCCUUGGUGGGCUCGAGUGUACGCCUCUGAUCAAGGUGUCAUCGAGUAUAUUUGAUGGCAUGAGCCAACUGUUUAUGAAAGUCAUAAGCCCUAAUGAGAAAUUAAAUGAAAUACAACCGUUUGCAUGGGUUGGG
Molecule: long non-coding RNA, 230 nt
Filed under: Theobroma cacao (cacao)
Lineage: Eukaryota; Viridiplantae; Streptophyta; Magnoliopsida; Malvales; Malvaceae
Description: long non-coding RNA (TCAC_LNC000290)
Source: RNAcentral